CGCUGCUUGGGUUUUUUCGAAAAAAAACACCGCGAUUUCAGCCCCAACUUCCCAAAAAGCUUGCUCUCAAUAAAUGUCUCCGAUUUUCUCUCUCAACAAAAGAACAAACAAACCCAACUCAGAUCCCAACUUCCCUCCUCCCUCUCUCGAUCUCUCACACGCCGCUCGGAGGGAUCUCGAUCUCUCACGCCGCUCGGAGGGAUCUCUCUCACGCCGCCACGCCCCCGAGUCUCGCCGAGCCCAGCCCCGACUCCGUCAAGCCACCGAGUCUCGCCGCCCCCAAGUCUCGCCCCCAACCACGACGCCGCCGCCGCCACGACUCGGCCACGACACCGCCGCCCCCGAUCUCAGGUUGCUCUGCGUUGGAGGAACUAGCCACUGUAAUCAAAUCAUUAGGCCAGGAUCUUAACGAAGAAAAGUUAUUGCAAAUAAUGAGCAAAUUUAACGUAGAGGGCAAUGAGAACGUGGAAUUUGGGGAGUUCUUAAAUCAAAUGACUAGAAAAAUGAAGGAAAUUGAUGCAGAAGAGGAAAUGAAUGUUCCAAACAUGUGGGUUUCUCAAAUGAUACAGAGCUAACUUUGCCAAGAGAAAUUGAGGCUGUUUAUAAGCAGACUCCUUCAGCUGACAAUGAGUCAUUAGAAAAAGAUGAUGUCCUUAUUCAUAAUCAAACACAUGAAGCAAGAGUGGAAGAAGAGGCAAAUAUUUUGGCUCAAGAAUCAACAGAGGAAGCCGAUGAGUUUGUAGAUAGUAUAGUAGAGAGGCAGAAUCAAAGUCUUCCAGCAAACAUCAACCAAGAAAACAAGAUAGAUGAUUUACCAGUUGAAGACAGCAACUCAAUAGGAGACAUGGUACCGGUGAUUAAUAGUAUCCAAGUAAUUGAAGAUCAUAAUGACCAAGAUAGAGAACGAAAAAGAGUUAGAAGCAGGCCAAUCGGUUGCUUAUUUAGAUGCUGUUGACUCGGAAAUUGAGAAAUUAAUGAUGGAAGACUUUGCAAAUGGAGCGAAAGAAGCUUCUAAGACCGAAUCAAACAAACUAUUAGAAGAACUAAAGAUGGAUGAUGUUGACACAGAUAGUUUUGAAAUACAACUUAAUGCCCUUGAGCCUAAUGAAGAAGAAAAGGAUGAUGGAAACGAUGCGAGACUCGAAGAGGCAGUAUUUGAGAUAUCUCUUCAAACUGAUUACACUUCAAAUUUGAUGCCUG
Asparagus officinalis (garden asparagus) is the source of this 1200-nucleotide long non-coding RNA. RefSeq lists it as uncharacterized. The transcript has 4 exons. NCBI's taxonomy places the organism in Eukaryota, Viridiplantae, Streptophyta, Magnoliopsida, Asparagales, Asparagaceae. The record is from RefSeq and is a predicted model, not a curated record.